GCUCCAUACUUUUAAUAUGCUUGACCUUUGACAUGUGCAAAUAUAUAUAUUCUUUUGUGUCCAGCUGAAUAAACAUCUUCAAGUAGGUAGUUUAUAAAAAGAAAAAUGUACUGUCACCACUGAGGUUUUGACACAAAGAUCCUAUGACAAAGAAUAAAGCAUAUUUACGAUGUUCUCAAAGUCAGUAGACUUAAUUGAAUUUUAUUUUUUACAAUUAAUCCAUGUUCUAAGAGAGUUUAAUCAUAUAAUUUUGUUAAACAAAAUUAAGCACAGGCCUACUGUAUGCUGCGACUUUGUAUAGGAGCAAUGCACUACGCAAUAAUGUAAGUGAUAUAAAUUGUUUGCCAAAUUUCCUUUACAAAUUACACAAGAUUUAUGAACACUAUCACACAUGAUGCAAGGUUUAUCAAUAUUCACAAGUUUUAUAGAAUUCAAUUAUAGAAUUACAAGUUUUAUAGAAUUCAAUUAUAGAAUUACAGUACAUAAAGUAACAUAGCUCCCUCAAAAUCUUACUGUACAAUUUAUUUUUGUUUGGCAUCUAUCCAUAACAUUUGGCCCCUUAACCACAUGUACUUUUUAAGUGUGUAAAGUGGAGGUUGUGACAGCGAAUAUAUUCCAACCAGUGGUCACAUCCUUCUUUUUAAUUUUCCAAAUCCUGGAUUCACGCCUGAUGAUGAGCUCAUAUAGUGGGAAAAAAUUGUAAAGAUGCAUUUUUUUUUUAGAUACAUGUUUCCCUCUAAUUAAAGACCCCUCCAAAUAAAGACCACCUCCAACUAAAGACCACUUUUCUGAGGUCCCAAAUUAACAUGUCUUUUAUUUUUAUUAUUCUAAUUAGAGACCAAAGUUGCUAAAGACCAUGGAAAUCCCAGUCCCAAAAGUGGUCAUUAAUUGGAGAGAGACUUGUAUCUACCUCUGAUAGAUGGCCUUUUAAUGUAUUGUACAGAGAAGAACAAGUGAUGUGGGUGGGGGAGCUGAUGACAGGGAAAUGAAAUCAUCAUAUAAUGUUGUUAAACAAAAAUUAAGCACAGGCCUUCUGCCCAAUGGUGAGUUCCAGGAUCUUCAAGAACCAGGAGACCACAUCCUCACAUUACAACUUCACUUUUUUAUUUUCUUUUGUAAAAUUUAAAGGAAAACAAAUGUACAGUAUAAAACAAUCUUUCUGAAUGGUUGUGUGUAUGUCAACCAUUUCUGUGGUCAAUGACAGCCAAGUGUCUUCAACAUGAUGGUGGCUAUUUAAACAAGUAACACGCUACACUAAUGAAAUAAUCUAAUUAAAUUGGUAUCUAAUCGGUAUCAAAAACUGAAAGCAGAUUGCAUAAUCAAAGCCCAGAGAUAACACUUUGUAAAAAAAAAAAACAAUAAAAAAUGAUAAACUUAAAUCCUGUAUUUACAGGCACCAUUACAAAUAAAAACAGAUAAAACAAAUAUUUGAAUUUUGCUUGUUAGCAUUUCCAACAAUGGCAGAGUAUUCAAGUAUUAAUAAAUAU
Anneissia japonica is the source of this 1487-nucleotide long non-coding RNA. RefSeq lists it as uncharacterized. Lineage: Eukaryota; Metazoa; Echinodermata; Crinoidea; Comatulida; Comatulidae. The record is from RefSeq and is a predicted model, not a curated record. The transcript is spliced from 2 exons.